RNAcentral lists this ribosomal RNA (468 nucleotides) under uncultured bacterium. RNAcentral describes it as "partial 16S ribosomal RNA". It matches the Rfam family "Bacterial small subunit ribosomal RNA", at positions 28 to 507 of the family's 1533-position model. The record is from RNAcentral.
GACGAACGCUGGCGGCGUGCUUAACACAUGCAAGUCGAACGGAAAGGCCCUGCUUUUGUGGGGUGCUCGAGUGGCGAACGGGUGAGUAACACGUGAGUAACCUGCCCUUGACUUUGGGAUAACUUCAGGAAACUGGGGCUAAUACCGGAUAGGAGCUCCUGCUGCAUGGUGGGGGUUGGAAAGUUUCGGCGGUUGGGGAUGGACGCGCGGCUUAUCAGCUUGUUGGUGGGGUAGUGGCUUACCCAGGCUUUGACGGGUAGCCGGCCUGAGAGGGUGACCGGCGACAUUGGGACUGAGAUACGGCCCAGACUCCUACGGGAGGCAGCAGGGGGGAAUAUUACACAAUGGGCGGAAGCCUGAUGCAGCAACGCCGCGUGCGGGAUGACGGCCUUCGGGUUGUAAACCGCUUUCGCCUGUGACGAAGCGUGAGUGACGGUAAUGGGUAAAGAAGCACCGGCUAACUACGUG